This 2427-nucleotide ribosomal RNA is filed under the name Paenalcaligenes hominis. RNAcentral's name for it is "partial 23S ribosomal RNA". It matches the Rfam family "Bacterial large subunit ribosomal RNA", at positions 586 to 2925 of the family's 2925-position model. The record is from RNAcentral. Lineage: Bacteria; Pseudomonadati; Pseudomonadota; Betaproteobacteria; Burkholderiales; Alcaligenaceae.
UUGUCCCGUGACUGCGUACCUUUUGUAUAAUGGGUCAGCGACUUACAUUCAGUGGCAAGCUUAACCGAGUAGGGGAGGCGUAGCGAAAGCGAGUCCGAAUAGGGCGAUUCAGUCGCUGGGUGUAGACCCGAAACCAGGCGAUCUAUCCAUGGUCAGGUUGAAGGUAAGGUAACACUUACUGGAGGACCGAACCCACUAAUGUUGAAAAAUUAGGGGAUGAACUGUGGAUCGGAGUGAAAGGCUAAACAAGCUUGGAGAUAGCUGGUUCUCUUCGAAAACUAUUUAGGUAGUGCCUCGUAUAUUACUGUCGGGGGUAGAGCACUGUUAUGGCUAGGGGGUCACAGCGACUUACCAAACCAUGGCAAACUCCGAAUACCGACAAGUACAGUACGGGAGACAGACAUCGGGUGCUAACGUCCGGUGUCAAGAGGGAAACAACCCAGACCGCCAGCUAAGGUCCCUAAAACGGGCUAAGUGGGAAACGAAGUGGGAAGGCAUAGACAGUCAGGAGGUUGGCUUAGAAGCAGCCACCCUUUAAAGAAAGCGUAAUAGCUCACUGAUCGAGUCGUCCUGCGCGGAAGAUGUAACGGGGCUAAGCCAGUUACCGAAGCUGCGGACGUGAAUUUAUUCACGUGGUAGGAGAGCGUUCUGUAAGCCUGUGAAGGUGUGUCGAGAGGCAUGCUGGAGGUAUCAGAAGUGAGAAUGCUGACAUGAGUAGCGAUAAAGGGAGUGAAAAGCUCCCUCGCCGUAAGUCCAAGGUUUCCUGCGCAACGUUCAUCGGCGCAGGGUGAGUCGGCCCCUAAGGCGAGGCAGAGAUGCGUAGCUGAUGGGAAGCGGGUUAAUAUUCCCGCACCAUUGUAAAGUGCGAUGGGGGGACGGAUGACGGAAGGUCAUCGAGGUGUUGGAUUACCUCGUUGAGGCAUCAUAGAAGGCGCUUAGGCAAAUCCGGGCGCGUAAUUCAAGGGUGUCGCUGAAUGGGUCUACGGACCCAAACUGAUUGAAAGUUGUCCCAAGAAAAGCCUCUAAGCUUCAGCUUUACAAGACCGUACCGCAAACCGACACAGGUGGACGGGAUGAAUAUUCCAAGGCGCUUGAGAGAACUCAGGAGAAGGAACUCGGCAAAUUGAUACCGUAACUUCGGGAGAAGGUAUGCCCUGGUAGUGUGAUGCGCNNNNNNNNNNNNNNNNNNNNNNNNNNNNNNNNNNNNNNNNNNNNNNNNNNNNNNNNNNNNNNNNNNNNNNNNNNNNNNNNNNNNNNNNNNNNNNNNACAAAGCAUGAAGGGGCCGCAGUGAAUCGGUGGCUGCGACUGUUUAUUAAAAACACAGCACUCUGCAAACACGAAAGUGGACGUAUAGGGUGUGACGCCUGCCCGGUGCCGGAAGGUUAAGUGAUGGGGUGCAAGCUCUUGAUCGAAGCCCCGGUAAACGGCGGCCGUAACUAUAACGGUCCUAAGGUAGCGAAAUUCCUUGUCGGGUAAGUUCCGACCUGCACGAAUGGCGUAACGAUGGCCACACUGUCUCCUCCUGAGACUCAGCGAAGUUGACGUGGUUGUGAAGAUGCAAUCUACCCGCGGCUAGACGGAAAGACCCCAUGAACCUUUACUGUAGCUUUGCAUUGGAUCGUGAACCGGCCUGUGUAGGAUAGGUGGGAGGCACUGAAGCGUGGACGCUAGUCUGCGUGGAGCCAACCUUGAAAUACCACCCUGGUCUGUUUAUGGUUCUAACCUAGGUCCGUUAUCCGGAUCGGGGACCGUGCAUGGUGGGCAGUUUGACUGGGGCGGUCUCCUCCUAAAGUGUAACGGAGGAGUUCGAAGGUACGCUAGAGACGGUCGGAAAUCGUCUUGAUAGUGCAAUGGCAUAAGCGUGCUUAACUGUGAGACUGACACGUCGAACAGGUACGAAAGUAGGACAUAGUGAUCCGGUGGUUCUGUAUGGAAGGGCCAUCGCUCAACGGAUAAAAGGUACUCUGGGGAUAACAGGCUGAUACCGCCCAAGAGUUCAUAUCGACGGCGGUGUUUGGCACCUCGAUGUCGACUCAUCUCAUCCUGGGGCUGUAGCCGGUCCCAAGGGUAUGGCUGUUCGCCAUUUAAAGAGGUACGUGAGUUGGGUUUAAAACGUCGUGAGACAGUUUGGUCCCUAUCUGCCGUGGGCGUUGGAUACUUGACGGAGCCUGCUCCUAGUACGAGAGGACCGGAGUGGACGUACCGCUGGUGUAUCGGUUGUCAUGCCAAUGGCAUCGCCGAGUAGCUAAGUACGGAAGAGAUAACCGCUGAAGGCAUCUAAGCGGGAAACUCGUCUGAAGAUUAGGUAUCCCGGGGGCUUGACCCCCCUGAAGGGUCGUUCGAGACCAGGACGUUGAUAGGCUGGGUGUGGAAGUGCAGUAAUGCACGUAGCUAACCAGUACUAAUUGCCCGUGCGGCUUGAUCCU